RNAcentral lists this ribosomal RNA (253 nucleotides) under uncultured bacterium. RNAcentral's name for it is "partial 16S ribosomal RNA". It matches the Rfam family "Bacterial small subunit ribosomal RNA", at positions 524 to 776 of the family's 1533-position model. The record is from RNAcentral.
UACAGAGGGGGCAAGCGUUAUUCGUAAUUAUUGGGCGUAAAGGGCGCGUAGGCGGCCUGGCAAGUGGAAGGUGAAAUCCCUCGGCUUAACCGAGGAACUGCCCUCCAAACUGCUUGGCUUGAGUCCGGGAGAGGUGAGUGGAAUUCCCAGUGUAGCGGUGAAAUGCGUAGAUAUUGGGAGGAACACCAGUGGCGAAGGCGGCUCACUGGACCGGAACUGACGCUGAGGCGCGAAAGCGUGGGGAGCAAACAGG